CCAGAGUGAUAUGAUUCCUUUGUAUCUUUUAUGAAAGCAGCCAGCCACACUGUCUCCAGGCCAUUGUUUCUCUAGGUCUUCUUUGAAGACGGACGAUCUACUGUUUCAAAAGAUGUAUGUGUGUGGACAAUAAUACCAAUAUCUGGAGUUUUAGCUUCCACCCACCAAGAUGAACCCAGCCCCCACAUUAGCC
This 193-nucleotide long non-coding RNA is filed under the name Vulpes vulpes (red fox). RNAcentral describes it as "lncRNA (ENSVVUG00000014721.1)". The record is from RNAcentral. Lineage: Eukaryota; Metazoa; Chordata; Mammalia; Carnivora; Canidae.